CAGCCGCCGCGGUAAUACGAAGGGUGCAAGCGUUACUCGGAAUUACUGGGCGUAAAGCGUGCGUAGGUGGUGGUUUAAGUCCGUUGUGAAAGCCCUGGGCUCAACCUGGGAAUUGCAGUGGAUACUGGGUCACUAGAGUGUGGUAGAGGAUAGUGGAAUUUCCGGUGUAGCAGUGAAAUGCGUAGAGAUCGGAAGGAACAUCUGUGGCGAAGGCGACUAUCUGGGCCAACACUGACACUGAGGCACGAAAGCGUGGGGAGCAAACAGGAUUAGAUACCCCCGUAGUCCCUGUCUCUUAUAU
Molecule: ribosomal RNA, 301 nt
Filed under: uncultured bacterium
Lineage: Bacteria
Description: partial 16S ribosomal RNA
Rfam family: Bacterial small subunit ribosomal RNA
Source: RNAcentral